Molecule: long non-coding RNA, 1273 nt
Organism: Pieris napi
Lineage: Eukaryota; Metazoa; Arthropoda; Insecta; Lepidoptera; Pieridae
Exons: 5
Source: RefSeq, a predicted model, not a curated record
ACACCGUGACCAGAAUUAGUUAUGCAAUUUUUCCAUGGGUCGGUGCCGAUCCCUUGCGCAUCGUAUAACCCUUACGAAUAAAGAUGGUGGUGUCAGGUCCUGUUUUUACAUGGAAAGAAGCAUGAUAAAUUUAACGCUAAAAGACCGCUGAAGUAUUACAAAAAUUAGAAAUGGAAUGGAAAAUUAUACAAAAAUGGAAUUGGACAGGACAAAUCAUGAGGAAGAACUUGGAAAGUAGACGUGGUAAGUUGUGGAUUCCUUUCCUAGAAACGGAGACGAAGAGGACGACGACAAAAAAGAGAUCGAAGGAUGUUUCACCGAAGAAACACGUGCAGGCUUCCAUGCCAUAUUUUUACAUGGCAAUAAGCAUGUUAAAUUUAACUCUAAAAGACCGCUGAAGUAUUACAAAAAUUAAAAAUGGAAUGGAAAAAAUAUACAAAAAUAGAAUUGGAAUGGACACGAGGACAAACGUGGAAAGUGGAUGAGGGAAAUUGUGGAUUGGUAUUCUAGAAACGGAAGACGAAGAGGACAAUAAAAGAGAUCCCAUCUCUUUUAUGGUGAUUCACCUAUUGAUGGGGAAGGUUAGUUCGAGAUAGAACGAGAUUUAACUAGGGUAGGCCUAUCUCGCUAAAAGUUAACGCUAAAAGACCGCUGAAGUAUUAAAAAAAUUGAAAUGAAAUUGAAAAUUAUACUAAAAUGGAAUUGGACAGGACAAAUCAUGAGGAAGAACCUGGAAAGUAGACGUGGUAAGUUGUCGACUCCUUUCCUAGAAACGGAGACGAAGAGGACGACGACAAAAAAGAGAUGGAAGGAUGUUUCACCGAAGAAACACGUGCAGGCUUCCAUGCCAUGUUUUUACAUAGCAAUAGGCAUGUUUAAUUUAACUCUAAAAGACCGCUGAAGUAUUACAAAAAUUAAAAAUGGAAUAGAAAAAAUAUACAAAAAUAGAAUUGGAAUGUACACGAGGACAAACGUGGAAAGUGGACAAGGGAAAUUGUGGAUUGGUAUUCUAGAAACGGAAGACGAAGAGGACAAUAAAAGAGAUCCCAUCUCUUUAUGGUGAUUCACCUAUUGAUGGAGAAGGGUUAAAAACUGCUGUGGUUACUUCGUGGUGCGAACAUCGGUGCAUGGAAAGAGGAACAACGAUCGCACGGUAACUAACGUGUAACAACACAUCAACCGUAUUUUAUAUUUACACUUAAAAUAUAAUAUAUUAAUAUGGAUAUUAUCUUUAAUGGGCGUCACACACAAAAUUUGGUUUUAAUUGCUGAAA